AUUGAACGCUGGCGGCGUGCUUAACACAUGCAAGUCGAACGCGAAAGGGAGUUCGGUCCUGAGUAAAGUGGCGCACGGGUGAGUAACGCGUGGAUAAUCUGCCCUUAUGAUUGGAAUAACAGUUGGAAACGGCUGCUAAUACCGGAUACGCUCAAAAUGAACUUUUGAGGAAAGAUGGCCUCUGCUUGCAUGCUAUCGCAUAAGGAUGAGUCCGCGUCCCAUUAGCUUGUUGGCGGGGUAACGGCCCACCAAGGCAACGAUGGGUAGCCGAUUUGAGAGGAUGAUCGGCCACACUGGAACUGAAACACGGUCCAGACUCCUACGGGAGGCAGCAGUGGGAAUAUUGCGCAAUGGGCGAAAGCCUGACGCAGCGACGCCGCGUGAGGGAUGAAGGUUUCGGAUCGUAAACCUCUGUCAGAAGGGAAGAAACUACGUUGUGCUAAAUCAGCAGCGUACUGACGGUACCUUCAAAGGAAGCACCGGCUAACUCCGUGCCAG
RNAcentral lists this ribosomal RNA (498 nucleotides) under uncultured bacterium. RNAcentral's name for it is "bacterial SSU rRNA". It matches the Rfam family "Bacterial small subunit ribosomal RNA", at positions 30 to 511 of the family's 1533-position model. The record is from RNAcentral.